GAAAAAGUACAUUUGUUAAUUGUUCCGUUUCCAUGGCACCGAAGUCUUCAGGCUUUUUAUCUCUUGUUUUGACAAGCUGUCUUUGUACUGAAAGACCAUAGAGAUCAUAAGCGGGUUUUAUGCUGAAUGCUUUUGUGCUAUCAGCUCCUUUGUGAUCUGCAAAUGGCAAAUACACAGGCAGCAGGACUGCCAGACAUAAGGACCUGCUAGUCUAUCACUCUCCUUCAUGCCACAGAAAUGAGCUGAGAAACGGGCUGUAUAAAUGACAGGGAGGUGUAGGGCAGAGGCUGAAGCUGAUCUUGAACAUGAAGAUGAAAAAAAUUAAGAAGAAAAUUAAGAAGGAAAAUUCAUGCUCAUCAAAACCCAUGGAGAAUCUUCAGUACAUGUUAAACAGCUCCUCACUGCUCUGUAAAACCAGGCUGCGUUCCCUGCAGUGCAAGAGGAAAACAAUGCCACUAUCAAUAAUCUACAGAAGCACUUCUACCAGAUACCUCUGUUUUCAGGAAAAAUUCCAUUUGUCCAGCACUUCUGGCUAGUGUAGCUAUGAGUUAAUAUAUCUUUUUUACCUUAAAAAAAAAAAAAAAAAUUGAUCAAGGCCAAUCUCAGUUAUAAAUGUCUAAAUGUUUUAUAGUUUUGACAAGGUAGCUUCUUCC
This is a long non-coding RNA of Gallus gallus (chicken), 653 nucleotides long. NCBI's taxonomy places the organism in Eukaryota, Metazoa, Chordata, Aves, Galliformes, Phasianidae. The record is from Ensembl.